GAGUUUUGAUCUUGGCUCAGGACGAACGCUGGCGGCGUGCUUAACACAUGCAAGUCGAACGAUGGUCCCGCCUUCGGGCGGGGGAUUAGUGGCGAACGGGUGAGUAACACGUGGGUAACCUGCCCCGACUCCGGGAUAAGCCUGGGAAACCGGGUCUAAUACCGGAUAUGACUUCCUGCCGCAUGGCGGGGGGUGGAAAGAUCUGUCGGUCGGGGAUGGACUCGCGGCCUAUCAGCUGGUUGGCGGGGUAACGGCCCACCAAGGCGACGACGGGGUAGCCGGCCUGAGAGGGUGGACGGCCACACUGGGACUGAGACACGGCCCAGACUCCUACGGGAGGCAGCAGUGGGGAAUAUUGCACAAUGGGCGCAAGCCUGAUGCAGCGACGCCGCGUGAGGG
Molecule: ribosomal RNA, 399 nt
Filed under: uncultured Actinomycetes bacterium
Lineage: Bacteria; Bacillati; Actinomycetota; Actinomycetes
Description: bacterial SSU rRNA
Rfam family: Bacterial small subunit ribosomal RNA
Source: RNAcentral